This is a non-coding RNA of Peromyscus maniculatus bairdii (prairie deer mouse), 1354 nucleotides long. Lineage: Eukaryota; Metazoa; Chordata; Mammalia; Rodentia; Cricetidae. The record is from RefSeq and is a predicted model, not a curated record.
UGGCUGUGGGCCCAGCACGUUCCUACAGACAGAGAAAUCCCUCAGACUGCAUACAGCCUUCAGGAGAAGGCCAAGAGAUGAGACAGAAGCGGCAGGCCAGUGACAACAGCCGUGUUAAUAACCCCUAAAAGGAGCAGGGGGAGCAGAGCCAGGGACAACAGCCUCUGGACCUCCUGAGGGAGUCAAGAUGGUCUCAGGGCAAGCUGUGAGCCUCACCGGGAAGGCUCUUCCGCCCGCAUCCACAAAGGCUUAGCUGCUGGCAGGGUAGGAGCUAGAUAAGGAAGCAUCUCGGGUCUGCUUUUCAAGCCUACACACGUGUUCUCUAGGACCAGGGAAGAGUCUGGGGACCUCCUGGAGCCAGCAGAACACACGGAGUACCAGGAAUUCAUGACGAGAGCUCCCAGGUGGUCCCAGUUUGAAUGCACAGUCUACCAAGGUUGGGACACCAUGGCAGCCCAAGCGUGAGGCAGCCAGUGACAGGGUGUUUACUGUGAGGAAACAGAAGAAAGAGGGGAUGUGGUUCACCUCGCCUUAUCCUCUUUACUGCCUGGAACCUCAGCCCAAGGAAUGGCGCUACCUACCUGCAAGUUCUGGAGGCCAAGAAGACCAUGAUCGGAUCUCCAGAAGACUCUAUAUCUGGGGGAAGAGACAUGUAUUCCUCUCUCUAUUAGGACACUGUGAGAGCAGAAUAGGGUACAGACAAGGCCAAGAGUCAGGGGCUCCACAAGGCCCGACUCAUCAUUUGCCGACCCUGCUCGAGAGGCCAGCUAUGAUGGUGGCAGGGUGUGCCCCGAGGCUCAGAUGCCCUCAGGCAGAGCAUUCAAGGGAUGACCUGGACAGACAGUAGGACACCAACUACAUACCAGGUGGAGUGAUGGGACAAGGCAGCAAGCCAGAGGAAGUCAAUAGCUUCAGGGAGAAAUUCUGCACACUGCUUGCCGGGAGUCACGUCGACAGUCUUAGCACAGGGCACCCCCUACUCUUAGCUCGUGUCACAGCCUGUGGGGGGGGGGCACCAGGGCUGUCAGCGGCAGUGAGGUAUGGGUUGGAGACACAGCUGCCACCUGGAGCAUCCUGGGGUGCUCUUUUCCAUAACCUCCUCCCCAGGGGUAGCUGGGAUUCUUGACUUUGCUGCUAGGAAUUUUAAGUAAGAGCCUGAAUGAAGCAAAGUUGGAGUUUAUUACGAAGACGUUUUAACAGGAAUUUGAGCAGGGCACUAAGGGGAAGGAUAAGAUAGCCAAGCAAGGCUUCCCUAGAGAGUCUGCUUAGGUGUCUUUAUAGCAGAGGAUCUCAGCCUUCCUAACGCUGCGACCCUUUAAUAUACAGUUCCUCGUGUUGUGGUGACCCCCUAACC